GAACGCGAAGAACCUUACCCGGGCUUGAAUUGCAGAGGAAGGAUUUAGAGAUAAUGACGCCCUUCGGGGCCUCUGUGAAGGUGCUGCAUGGUUGUCGUCAGCUCGUGCCGUGAGGUGUCGGCUUAAGUGCCAUAACGAGCGCAACCCCUCUCUUCAGUUGCCAUCAGGUGAUGCUGGGCACUCUGGAGACACUGCCACCGUAAGGUGUGAGGAAGGUGGGGAUGACGUCAAAUCAGCACGGCCCUUACGUCCGGGGCUACACACGUGUUACAAUGGCCGGUACAGAGGGAUGGUGUAAUGCAAAUUGCAUCAAAUCUUGAAAGCCGGUCCCAGUUCGGACUGGGGUCUGCAACCCGACCCCACGAAGCUGGAUUCGCUAGUAAUCGCGGAUCAGAAUGCCGCGGUGAAUACGUUCCCGGGUCUUGUACACACC
This 433-nucleotide ribosomal RNA is filed under the name uncultured bacterium. RNAcentral's name for it is "bacterial SSU rRNA". It matches the Rfam family "Bacterial small subunit ribosomal RNA", at positions 957 to 1391 of the family's 1533-position model. The record is from RNAcentral.